CCUACGGGAGGCAGCAGUGAGGAAUAUUGGUCAAUGGGCGCGAGCCUGAACCAGCCAAGUAGCGUGAAGGAUGACUGCCCUACGGGUUGUAAACUUCUUUUAUAAAGGAAUAAAGUGAGGCACGUGUGCCUUUUUGUAUGUACUUUAUGAAUAAGGAUCGGCUAACUCCGUGCCAGCAGCCGCGGUAAUCCGGAGGGUCCGAGCGUUAUCCGGAUUUAUUGGGUUUAACGGGAGCGUAGAUGGGUUGGUAAGUCAGUUGUGAAAGUUUGGGGCUCAACCGUAAAAUUGCAAUUGAUACUGGCAGGCUUGAGUGCAGGAGAGGUAGGCGGAAUUCGUGGUGUAGCGGUGAAAUGCUUAGAUAUCACGAAGAACUCCGAUUGCGAAGGCAGCUUACUAGACUGCCACUGACAUUGAUGCUCGAAAGUGUGGGUAGCAAACAGGAUUAGAUACCCGAGUAGUC
This 460-nucleotide ribosomal RNA is filed under the name uncultured bacterium. RNAcentral describes it as "partial 16S ribosomal RNA". It matches the Rfam family "Bacterial small subunit ribosomal RNA", at positions 338 to 795 of the family's 1533-position model. The record is from RNAcentral.